UGCCAGCAGCCGCGGUAAGACGGAGGGUGCAAACGUUGUUCGGAAUCAUUGGGCAUAAAGGGCACGCAGGCGGCCCAGUCAGUCAGUUGUGAAAGCCCACGGCUCCACCGUGGAACUGCAUCUGAUACUGCUGGGCUAGAGAAUGGUUGGGGUGAGUGGAACUCCUGGUGGAGCGGUGAAAUGCGUAGAUAUCAGGAGGAACACCAGUGGCGAAGGCGGCUCACUGGACCAUUACUGACGCUGAGGUGCGAAAGCUAGGGUAGCAAACAGGAUUAGAUA
This 279-nucleotide ribosomal RNA is filed under the name uncultured bacterium. Its description in RNAcentral is "partial 16S ribosomal RNA". It matches the Rfam family "Bacterial small subunit ribosomal RNA", at positions 506 to 784 of the family's 1533-position model. The record is from RNAcentral.